CCAAUGGUUAUCGAGCCCAGGGAUGAGA
RNAcentral lists this non-coding RNA (28 nucleotides) under Rattus norvegicus (Norway rat). The record is from RNAcentral. Lineage: Eukaryota; Metazoa; Chordata; Mammalia; Rodentia; Muridae.